RNAcentral lists this ribosomal RNA (404 nucleotides) under uncultured bacterium. RNAcentral's name for it is "bacterial SSU rRNA". It matches the Rfam family "Bacterial small subunit ribosomal RNA", at positions 355 to 774 of the family's 1533-position model. The record is from RNAcentral.
UAAGGAAUCUUCCACAAUGGGCGAAAGCCUGAUGGAGCAACGCCGCGUGCAGGAUGAAGGCCCUCGGGUCGUAAACUGCUUUUAUGAGUGAAGAAUAUGACGGUAACUCAUGAAUAAGCACCGGCUAACUACGUGCCAGCAGCCGCGGUCAUACGUGGGGUGCAAGCAUUAUCCGGAGUGACUGGGCGUAAAGAGUUGCGUAGGCGGUUAGUAAAGCGAAUAGUGAAACCUGGUGGCUCAACCAUACAGACUAUUAUUCGAACUCACUAACUCGAGAGUGGUAGAGGUAACUGGAAUUUCUUGUGUGGGAGUGAAAUCCGUAGAUAUAACAAGGAACACCAAUGGCGUAGGCAGGUUACUGGACCAUUUCUGACGCUAAGGCACGAAAGCGUGGGGAGCGAACC